CCCUUAGAUGUUCUGGGCCGCACGCGCGCUACACUGAUUCAUGCAACAAGUUUUGUCCUUGGCUGAUAGGCCUGGGUAAUCUUUGAACGUGAAUCGUGAUGGGGAUAGAUGAUUGCAAUUAUUCAUCUUCAACGAGGAAUUCCUAGUAAACGCAAGUCAUCAGCUUGCAUUGAUUACGUCCCUGCCCUUUGUACACACCGCCCGUCGCACCUACCGAUCGAAGGUAAUGAUGAGCCCUCAGGAUUGUGGCCUCGUCGCGUCAGCGUCUUGGCUGCGAGAAUCUGUGCAAAUCCCUACCUUUAGAGGAAGGUGAANUCGUAACA
RNAcentral lists this ribosomal RNA (323 nucleotides) under uncultured eukaryote. Its description in RNAcentral is "partial 18S ribosomal RNA". It matches the Rfam family "Eukaryotic small subunit ribosomal RNA", at positions 1470 to 1796 of the family's 1831-position model. The record is from RNAcentral.